AUGAACGCUGGCGGCGUGCCUAAUACAUGCAAGUCGAGCGAACAGACGAGGAGCUUGCUCCUCUGACGUUAGCGGCGGCCGGGUGAGUAACACGUGGAUAACCUACCUAUAAGACUGGGAUAACUUCGGGAAACCGGAGCUAAUACCGGAUAAUAUAUUGAACCGCAUGGUUCAAUAGUGAAAGACGGUUUUGCUGUCACUUAUAGAUGGAUCCGCGUCGCAUUAGCUAGUUGGUAAGGUAACGGCUUACCAAGGCAACGAUGCGUAGCCGACCUGAGAGGGUGAUCGGCCACACUGGAACUGAGACACGGUCCAGACUCCUACGGGAGGCAGCAGUAGGGAAUCUUCCGCAAUGGGCGAAAGCCUGACGGAGCAACGCCGCGUGAGUGAUGAAGGUCUUCGGAUCGUAAAACUCUGUUAUUAGGGAAGAACAAAUGUGUAAGUAACUAUGCACGUCUUGACGGUACCUAAUCAGAAAGCCACGGCUAACUACGUG
Molecule: ribosomal RNA, 496 nt
Filed under: uncultured bacterium
Lineage: Bacteria
Description: partial 16S ribosomal RNA
Rfam family: Bacterial small subunit ribosomal RNA
Source: RNAcentral